Non-coding RNA from Macaca mulatta (Rhesus monkey), 3528 nucleotides. NCBI's taxonomy places the organism in Eukaryota, Metazoa, Chordata, Mammalia, Primates, Cercopithecidae. The record is from RefSeq and is a predicted model, not a curated record.
AGUACAUUAUGGGAUAUGCUGAAAUAACUUUGGAGAUCCUGAAAUCUCCAAAUUAUAUGCUGAAAUUAACUUUGGUGUCAGUAUUCUGGAACAGAACUUUCGACCCACUUGGGAACGGGCUCAGAUAGGGAGAGGGGAGGCGGUUAGGAAGGGCGGGAAGCUGUUGACUUUGAUUGGCUUCUUUUCUAGAUCAGCAUUCAUCCCCCAGGCAGAAAGGACUCGCCUAGGGAGCCAGCGCGGUCCCAAAGGAGCCGCCGGCCCUGCCUCCCGGGAUCCGACCCCAGAUGUGCCAUUCUCUGCUUGGACGCACACAGAAUAUUCUUGCUCACAGAAUAUCUCAGUUGAAGCCCUGAGCAUGUAAAAGGAAGAUGUUUCUUUCUAAUGAAUUCGCCAUUACAUUUCCAAAGUUAUAAGAUGGCCAACAGACCAUAGAAAGACAAUUAUUUAGUCUCCUGCUUGAAACCAACAGCUUCAGCAAACUGCUGGCCUUGAAUCAGGACCAACCAUUCUUUUUAAUACCUAUGGAAUACUUUUACUAGAACAUUCUGCCUUCAAGCAAAGCAUACUUAUUUCAUGCAGUAGGAACAGAGGGUCACUCCUGCGGGUAUCUUCUUUUGCAUCAUCUCACAUCUACCUACCUACUGGUUGGAUGAUCCCGAGCUAAUUACCUCACUCCUCUAAACUGCAGCUGUCAUGUAAGCAGGUAUUCUUGGGCUCUCUCUCUUCAGCUCUUUCUUGUGGUCCAGCCAGAGUCAUGCCAGGUGUGGAAACUGGAAGUCUAGAAAGCAAAGUUUGCCACUGCUCUGAUGCAGGUCCUCCUCCUGGGUGAGGAAAACAACCACAUCCUUGAACCUAGGACAGCACCUUGGUGUCCAUCUCCUCUUGCUUGUGCCUGGUCUUGGGAUAUUGGUGCUAGGCCUUCAUUUUAUUGUGUGCACCUUUGAGAGUAGAUGAAGAGCUAACCAAACUAUAAAUCCCUGAUUGGGUGUCUCUCUCAAUAAUGAACAGCUUAGGAACCCUUCUACCUUGUUUCUGAGGCCAAGGUUACUCUUCUCAAAGGAGUUUCCAGAGUUAUGUUUCAUUCUUAUAAAAUUAUGCUUCAGAAGCCAUAAUACAUGGGUGCCCACUGUUGAGGAUUUCUUAAGAUAAAGAUCCUGGGCUCUACCCCUUGAGACUAAAUCAGUAGGUCUGGGGUAAGGCCCAGAAUUUACACUUUAAAAAAGUAACACACCAACUUCCAGUUCCAGUCUGGCAUGUAAGAAGCUUGGAAGUUGUCACUCAGCCCAAACAACAAGUAAAAAGCUGAAUAAGCCAGGUGUGGUGACUCUCAUCUGUAGUCCCAGCACUUUGGGAGGUUGAGGUGGUUCCAAUCACUUGAGCCCAGGAGUUCAAGACACACCUGGGAAACAUGGUGAAACCCCAUCUCUGCAAAAAAUACAAAAAUUAGCCUGGUAUGGUGGCACACACCUGUAGUCGCAGCAUCUUGGGAGGCUGAAGUGGAAGGAUCACUUGAGGCCAGGAGUUGGAAGUUACAGUGAGCCACGAUAAUGCUACUGCACUCCAGUCUGGGUGAGAGGGUAAGACUCUGCAACAACUCUUUUUAGAUCUCUAAGAGAGAUUAGAUUACAGGGCAAACUCCUGUCCCCCAAAUUAAAGAGACCAACAGGGGAAUACAGAGAAUCACAACUCUGUGAGCAGGAAACCAUGAGUAGUAACCUCUGCAGCAACCGGUGCCCAUGUAGGAAAACCUUAACUGUAAUUGAUGAAUUGCUGGAGGCUGAGUGUGGACAAGUCAAAAACUCCAGGGGGACCCAGUCAUUAGGAGAUCCCCACAUUUUUGUGUUUUACCUUUAGAAGCUCUACCACACUGCCACAGUGAAUAUUGGAGAAAAAUCUCAUCAUGCUUCUGCCAGGGGAAGGGGAAAAGAACUAUUUAAAAAUACCCCAGAACACUCUGUUCUUCUGAACGUGGUCUGCCCUUAGGAGGAACUACUUAGCCAGAGCCUAACUUUCAGGGGUUUUACCAAUGCCUAACUGACCUAGAAGAAGGGAAACACCCAACUCUAAGUAAACUAGGAAUAGAGGGAAAUUUCCUCGACUUGAUAAAGAAUAUCUGAAAAAAAAAAAAAAAAAAAAACCCAGACACCCUAGUUAACAUCAUACUUAAUGAUGAGAAACUUGAAGCUUUCCCAUAAGAUCAGGAGCAAAGCAAAAUGUUUCCUCUCUCCACUACUUCUGAACAGCAGAUGAAAAAUUCUAGAUAAUAUAGCAAGAAAGAAAAAGAAAAGACACAGAUUGGGAGGGAAAUAAUAAUGUCUUUGUUUGCAUAUGACGUGAUUGUCUAUGAAGAAAAUCUGAAAAAAAUUGGCAGAAAAGUCUCCUGGAACUAAGUAAUUAUGGGAAGGUUGAGGAAUACUAGGUGAAUAUACAAAAGUCAAUUGUUUUCCAGUACACAAGUGUGUUAGUCUGUUUCAUGCUUCUACAACAGAAUACCGAAGACUAGGUAAUUUAUAAAGAACAGAAAUUUAUUUCUUACAGUUCUGGAGGCUGGGAAGUCCAAGGUUGAGGGGCUUACAUCUGGUGAGGUCCUUCCUGUUGUGUCAUCCCAUGGUUGAAGGCAGAAGGGCAAGCAAGACAGCAUGUAUAUAGAAGGAAAAGGAAGGGAAGGUCAGGGGGUAGGGAAGGAGAAGAGAGGGGGAGGGAAAGGGAGAGGGGAAAAGGUGGGGAGGGGAGCCAAACUCAUCCUUUUAUUAGGAACCCUCUCCCACAAUAAGCCUGAAUCCAUUCAUUAGAACAGAACCCCUCGUGACCUAAUCCCCUCUUACAGGUCCCACCUCUCAGCACUGUUGCGUUGGGGAUUAAAUUUCUCUCCAUGAUAUAUUCAAUCCAUGACAACUAGCAAUGAACAAAUGAAAUUCAAAAUUAAAUAAACCAGUACUUCCCCAAAAUAAAAUAGGUAUAAAUCUACCAAAAUAUAUACAAGAUCCGUGUGAGAAACAUUGAAAAACUUUAAUGAAAGAUGUCAAAGAGGCACCAAACAAAUGGAAAAAUACUACAUAUUCAUGGAUGGGAAGAUUCAAUAUUGUCAAGAUGUCAGCUCUUGCCAACUUGAUCUAUAGAUUCAAUGAAAUCAAAAUUAAAAUCCCAGCAAGCCACUUUGUGGAGAUUAACAGGUUGAUUCUAAAGUUCAUCUGCAGAGACAAAAGACCCAGAAGCGCCAGCAAAACACUGAAGAAGAUUAAAGUUGGAGGACUGACACUAUAUGACUUCAAGACUUAAUAUAAAGCUACAGUCAUCUAGACAGUGUGGUAUUGGUAAAAUAAUAGACAAAUAGAUCAGUGGAACAGAAUAGAGAGCUCAGAGAUAAACCCUGCAGAUAGUGUAUGUCAAAGGAGCAAAGGCAAUAUAAUGGAACAAAGAGUCUUCAACAAAUGAUCCCAGAACAACUGGACAUCACAUACAAAAAAAAAAAAAAAGGGGGGUAAGACACAACCCUUACUUUCUUCACAGAAAUUAACUCCAAAUGGA